GAUGAACGCUAGCGGCAGGCUUAAUACAUGCAAGUCGAGGGGCAGCACGAAUAGCAAUAUUUGGUGGCGACCGGCGCACGGGUGCGUAACACGUAUACAACCUACCUAUAACAGGGGGAUAGCCUUUCGAAAGAGAGAUUAAUACCCCGUAAUAAAUUGAAUGGCAUCAUUUGAUUUUGAAAGCUACGGCGGUUAUAGAUGGGUAUGCGUUUGAUUAGCUAGUUGGUGAGGUAACGGCCCACCAAGGCGACGAUCAGUAGCCGGCCUGAGAGGGUGAUCGGCCACACUGGAACUGAGACACGGUCCAGACUCCUACGGGAGGCAGCAGUGGGGAAUUUUGCGCAAUGGACGAAAGUCUGACGCAGCAACGCCGCGUGGUGAUGAAGGUCUUCGGAUUGUAAAACCCUGUCGCCAGGGACGAAGGUGGGGCGUGAAUAGCGUUCUACUUUGACGGUACCUGGAAAGGAAGCCCCGGCUAACUCUGUGCCAGCAGCCGC
Molecule: ribosomal RNA, 497 nt
Filed under: uncultured bacterium
Lineage: Bacteria
Description: bacterial SSU rRNA
Rfam family: Bacterial small subunit ribosomal RNA
Source: RNAcentral